GAUGAGCGCUGGCGGCGUGCCUAAUACAUGCAAGUCGAGCGAACGGACGAGAAGCUUGCUUCUCUGAUGUUAGCGGCGGACGGGUGAGUAACACGUGGAUAACCUACCUAUAAGACUGGGAUAACUUCGGGAAACCGGAGCUAAUACCGGAUAAUAUUUUGAACCGCAUGGUUCAAAAGUGAAAGACGGUCUUGCUGUCACUUAUAGAUGGAUCCGCGCUGCAUUAGCUAGUUGGUAAGGUAACGGCUUACCAAGGCAACGAUGCAUAGCCGACCUGAGAGGGUGAUCGGCCACACUGGAACUGAGACACGGUCCAGACUCCUACGGGAGGCAGCAGUAGGGAAUCUUCCGCAAUGGGCGAAAGCCUGACGGAGCAACGCCGCGUGAGUGAUGAAGGUCUUCGGAUCGUAAAACUCUGUUAUUAGGGAAGAACAUAUGUGUAAGUAACUGUGCACAUCUUGACGGUACCUAAUCAGAAAGCCACGGCUAACUACGUGCCAGCAGCCGCGGUAAUACGUAGGUGGCAAGCGUUAUCCGGAAUUAUUGGGCGUAAAGCGCGCGUAGGCGGUUUUUUAAGUCUGAUGUGAAAGCCCACGGCUCAACCGUGGAGGGUCAUUGGAAACUGGAAAACUUGAGUGCAGAAGAGGAAAGUGGAAUUCCAUGUGUAGCGGUGAAAUGCACAGAGAUAUGGAGGAACACCAGUGGCGAAGGCGACUUUCUGGUCUGUAACUGACGCUGAUGUGCGAAAGCGUGGGGAUCAAACAGGAUUAGAUACCCUGGUAGUCCACGCCGUAAACGAUGAGUGCUAAGUGUUAGGGGGUUUCCGCCCCUUAGUGCUGCAGCUAACGCAUUAAGCACUCCGCCUGGGGAGUACGACCGCAAGGUUGAAACUCAAAGGAAUUGACGGGGACCCGCACAAGCGGUGGAGCAUGUGGUUUAAUUCGAAGCAACGCGAAGAACCUUACCAAAUCUUGACAUCCUUUGACAACUCCAGAGAUAGAGCCUUCCCCUUCGGGGGACAAAGUGACAGGUGGUGCAUGGUUGUCGUCAGCUCGUGUCGUGAGAUGUUGGGUUAAGUCCCGCAACGAGCGCAACCCUUAAGCUUAGUUGCCAUCAUUAAGUUGGGCACUCUAAGUUGACUGCCGGUGACAAACCGGAGGAAGGUGGGGAUGACGUCAAAUCAUCAUGCCCCUUAUGAUUUGGGCUACACACGUGCUACAAUGGACAAUACAAAGGGCAGCGAAACCGCGAGGUCAAGCAAAUCCCAUAAAGUUGUUCUCAGUUCGGAUUGUAGUCUGCAACUCGACUACAUGAAGCUGGAAUCGCUAGUAAUCGUAGAUCAGCAUGCUACGGUGAAUACGUUCCCGGGUCU
RNAcentral lists this ribosomal RNA (1372 nucleotides) under uncultured bacterium. RNAcentral describes it as "bacterial SSU rRNA". It matches the Rfam family "Bacterial small subunit ribosomal RNA", at positions 28 to 1381 of the family's 1533-position model. The record is from RNAcentral.